Molecule: ribosomal RNA, 272 nt
Filed under: uncultured soil bacterium
Lineage: Bacteria
Description: partial 16S ribosomal RNA
Rfam family: Bacterial small subunit ribosomal RNA
Source: RNAcentral
AGAAUCAACGCUGGCGGCGUGCCUAACACAUGCAAGUCGAACGCGAAAGGGACUUCGGUCCUGAGUAGAGUGGCGAACGGGUGAGUAACGCGUGGGUGACCUACCCUCGAGUGGGGGAUAACGUUCCGAAAGGGACGCUAAUACCGCAUGACAUUCCGGGUUUGAAGACCUGGAAAUCAAAGCCGGGGACCGCAAGGCCUGGCGCUAGAGGAGGGGCCCGCGUCUGAUUAGCUAGUUGGCGGGGUAAUGGCCCACCAAGGCGACGAUCAGUA